Molecule: ribosomal RNA, 496 nt
Filed under: uncultured bacterium
Lineage: Bacteria
Description: bacterial SSU rRNA
Rfam family: Bacterial small subunit ribosomal RNA
Source: RNAcentral
AGAGUUUGAUCCUGGCUCAGAAUGAACGUUGGCGGCGUGGAUUAGGCAUGCGAGUCGAACGCGAACGGGCAACCUAGUAGCGUGGCGAAAGGGGCAGGAACGCGUAAGCAAUCUACCUUCAGGACCGGGAUAUACGGUGGAAACGCCGGGCAAUACUGGACGUCGACCGCUGAUGGCAUCAUCGGCUGUCGAAAGGUUUACUCCGCCUGGAGAGGAGCUUGCGUCCUACCAGCUUGUUGGCGAGGUAACGGCUCACCAAGGCGACGACGGGUAGGGGGUGUGAGAGCAUGACCCUCGCCAUUGGCACUGAGACACUGGCCAGACUCCUACGGGAGGCUGCAGUCGAGAAUCUUCGGCAAUGGGCGCAAGCCUGACCGAGCGACGCCGCGUGGAGGAAGAAGGCCUUCGGGUUGUAAACUCCUGUUGGGGGGGAACAAUAAUGAGUGAACCCCUGAGGAAGCACGGGCUAAGUUCGUGCCAGCCGCCGCGGUAAUUC